Molecule: ribosomal RNA, 551 nt
Filed under: uncultured bacterium
Lineage: Bacteria
Description: bacterial SSU rRNA
Rfam family: Bacterial small subunit ribosomal RNA
Source: RNAcentral
CCUACGGGAGGCAGCAGUGGGGAAUAUUGGACAAUGGGCGAAAGCCUGAUCCAGCAACGCCGCGUGAGGGAUGACGGCCUUCGGGUUGUAAACCUCUUUCAGCAGGGACGAAGCGAAAGUGACGGUACCUGCAGAAGAAGGACCGGCCAACUACGUGCCAGCAGCCGCGGUAAUACGUAGGGUCCGAGCGUUGUCCGGAAUUAUUGGGCGUAAGGGGCUCGUAGGCGGUUUGUCGCGUCGGGAGUGAAAACUCAGGGCUCAACCCUGAGCGUGCUUCCGAUACGGGCAGACUAGAGGUAUUCAGGGGAGAACGGAAUUCCUGGUGUAGCGGUGGAAUGCGCAGAUAUCAGGAGGAACACCGGUGGCGAAGGCGGUUCUCUGGGAAUUACCUGACGCUGAGGAGCGAAAGCAUGGGGAGCGAACAGGAUUAGAUACCCUGGUAGUCCAUGCCGUAAACGUUGGGCGCUAGGUGUGGGGACCUUCACGGUUUCCGUGCCGCAGCUAACGCAUUAAGNGCCCGCCUGGGGAAUCGGCCGCAAGGCUAAGCNAGA